UACGGAGGAUGCGAGCGUUAUCCGGAUUUAUUGGGUUUAAAGGGUGCGUAGGUGGUUAAUUAAGUCAGCGGUGAAAGUUUGUGGCUCAACCAUAAAAUUGCCGUUGAAACUGGUUGACUUGAGUAUAUUUGAGGUAGGCGGAAUGCGUGGUGUAGCGGUGAAAUGCAUAGAUAUCACGCAGAACUCCGAUUGCGAAGGCAGCUUACUAAACUAUAACUGACACUGAAGCACGAAAGCGUGGGGAUCAA
This 248-nucleotide ribosomal RNA is filed under the name uncultured Parabacteroides sp. Its description in RNAcentral is "partial 16S ribosomal RNA". It matches the Rfam family "Bacterial small subunit ribosomal RNA", at positions 524 to 771 of the family's 1533-position model. The record is from RNAcentral. Lineage: Bacteria; Pseudomonadati; Bacteroidota; Bacteroidia; Bacteroidales; Tannerellaceae.